GGUGCGAUAUUCAAGCGGUUAAAGAAGAUUGACUGUAAAUCAAUUCCCAUAGCGGGUUCGGUGAGUUCGAAUCUCCCUUGCACCACAA
Molecule: transfer RNA, 88 nt
Filed under: Segatella copri
Lineage: Bacteria; Pseudomonadati; Bacteroidota; Bacteroidia; Bacteroidales; Prevotellaceae
Description: Prevotella copri tRNA-Tyr
Rfam family: tRNA
About the family: Transfer RNA (tRNA) molecules are approximately 80 nucleotides in length. Their secondary structure includes four short double-helical elements and three loops (D, anti-codon, and T loops).
Source: RNAcentral